This 1396-nucleotide long non-coding RNA is filed under the name Sinocyclocheilus anshuiensis. RNAcentral's name for it is "lncRNA (ENSSANG00000045898.1)". The record is from RNAcentral. Lineage: Eukaryota; Metazoa; Chordata; Actinopteri; Cypriniformes; Cyprinidae.
GUACUUUCUUCAUUGUAAAUGCAUUUAAAUUCAUAAUUCUUCAAUCUCUUAACCUUUCGCAAAACCUUUAACCUUUAACCAAGGCUCGUGAUUGGCUGUUCGCCAGUGAUGUCACACAUUCAUGAGCACGUGCUCCACAAACUCAGGAUCAAAGCCUGAGUUGAUAACUCGAAACGAAUCCUGUAACUCUGAAUUUGUUCAUCUACCGUCAUGGUACAGGCCCCAGGACUCAACAGACACCUCUAAAUGUGUUACUGAUGCAGAAGAGGUCACCACAGUGCAAUUAUUUACGAUUCUCUAAUCUAUGAAUGUACUGUCAAGUAGUGUCUUCAUUUCCUCACACAGACUGUAUUUAAGACUGUAACAAUAGAUGCAUUUUCUCACAGCUGCUCCAUUCUGAAUUGGAUUUCUGUGAUUAAAUGGUCUGGUUAAAUACAAAGGAAUUGUAUUUUACUUGGCAAAUGAAUUUUUUUUUUAUGUGCUUCUAGAAGACAUUUUAGUUCUGUCAAAGUUGCCAAAACUAUCAUGUAGUUUAUCAAACCAAAUUACUGUAGAAGCAUAAAACUACACUGGCUAUAGAUGAAAUCUGUGGUUGAAUUUGUUUUCUGCUGUUUUUAUGUUUUAUUUGUUUUCUUUUAAUGGUUUUAGUUUCUAGCAGGUAUAUUUGUUCUCAGAGAUUCGUUGUAGAAUACGUUUUUUUUUUAACUUGGUUUACUGAUAUUUCUGUAUUAAAGGUGUGUGAAUGUUCUCCAGGUGGCCACUAAGAGGCGAUGAUUUAACAUCAAUGGCUUCAAGUCCUCAUAGGCCUGUGCAGUGACAUGUUGGCAGUCAUUGUCAUGGAUAUUCACUAUUGUUUUGUAGAAAUAACAGCUAUUAAACAUGACACAAUUCCGGUUUAUGCUGAACACUGCUUUCUGAUAUUUUGCUACUGAGUUGUCACAAUUCUAUAAAGCACACAUCAACUAUAUUUCUAAUAUUUCCUGAGAAAACAGGAUAAAUAUUGUUACAGCGUUCUAAUGAUUACUUUAAGUUGUGAAGUGGGUCAACUUAUAAGGUUAUCAGUAAGAAUGUAAUUUUUAUGACCCUUUAUCACUCUCUUUGAAUUAAACGGGCCUUCCCUCCCCUUAUUUGCACAUUUUCCUUUUAAGAUUUAUGUAAAUUGAUUUUUUGCAUAUGAAACGUCCGGCACGAAGGGGUCAAGGUUUAGCUGGUUAGCAUUAUUAUUAUAAUUUUUUUUUGCUGGUCAAAAGUUUGGAAUAUAUAUUUUUUAAUGUUAUUGAAAGAAAUCUCUUCUGCUCACCAAGGCUGCAUUUACUUGAUCAAAGACAGUAAUAUUGUGAAAUAAUUGUAAAAUAAAAAAAAAAAACUACUUUAAAAUUAAAUAAUAUUUUAAAAU